RNAcentral lists this ribosomal RNA (584 nucleotides) under Corynebacterium striatum. Its description in RNAcentral is "partial 23S ribosomal RNA". It matches the Rfam family "Bacterial large subunit ribosomal RNA", at positions 1582 to 2139 of the family's 2925-position model. Lineage: Bacteria; Bacillati; Actinomycetota; Actinomycetes; Mycobacteriales; Corynebacteriaceae. The record is from RNAcentral.
UUGGUGAAGUUGGUGAUCCCGUACUGUCGAGAAAAGCCUCUAGCGAUGUAUAUACUCGGCCCGUACCCCAAACCGACACAGGUAGUCAGGUUGAAAAUACUAAGGCGUUCGGGUGAACUGUGGUUAAGGAACUCGGCAAAAUGCCCCCGUAACUUCGGGAGAAGGGGGACCCUAUGGCGUUAACACUCUUUGCGGUGGGAAGCGUUGUGGGGUCGCAGAGAAUAGAGGGAAGCGACUGUUUAUCAAAAACACAGGUCCAUGCGAAGACGUUAAGUUGAUGUAUAUGGACUGACGCCUGCCCGGUGCUGGAAGGUUAAGAGGACCGGUUAAUCAAGCUUUGCUUGGUGAAGCUGAGAAUUUAAGCCCCAGUAAACGGCGGUGGUAACUAUAACCAUCCUAAGGUAGCGAAAUUCCUUGUCGGGUAAGUUCCGACCUGCACGAAUGGCGUAACGACUUCCCUGCUGUCUCAACCACAGGCCCGGUGAAAUUGCACUACGAGUAAAGAUGCUCGUUACGCGCGGCAGGACGAAAAGACCCCGGGACCUUCACUAUAGCUUGGUAUUGGUGUUCGGUUCGGUUUGUGU